Molecule: ribosomal RNA, 326 nt
Filed under: uncultured eukaryote
Lineage: Eukaryota
Description: partial 18S ribosomal RNA
Rfam family: Eukaryotic small subunit ribosomal RNA
Source: RNAcentral
CCCUUAGAUGUUCUGGGCCGCACGCGCGCUACACUGAUAAUGUCAACAAGCUUUACCUUGGCCGAUAGGUCUGGGCAAUCUUCGAACUAUUAUCGUGAUGGGGCUAGAUUAUUGCAACUAUUAAUCUUAAACGAGGAAUUCCUAGUAAGCACGAGUCAUCAGCUCGCGUUGAUUACGUCCCUGCCCUUUGUACACACCGCCCGUCGCUCCUACCGAUUGGAUUGGCUGGUGAAGCGUUCGGAUUGUGGGUUCGGAGCGGUUCGCCGUUCUGGGCUUGCGAGAAGUUCGUUAAACCCUCCUAUCUAGAGGAAGGAGAAGUCGUAACA